RNAcentral lists this long non-coding RNA (222 nucleotides) under Zonotrichia albicollis (white-throated sparrow). RNAcentral's name for it is "lncRNA (ENSZALG00000011154.1)". Lineage: Eukaryota; Metazoa; Chordata; Aves; Passeriformes; Passerellidae. The record is from RNAcentral.
UCCCAUGUCCCAGCCCGGAGCGACGGCAUGAAGAAAUCCUCGUAUUCAGGAAUCACCCGGACCUCCAGCGGGAGACUUCGGAGGCUCAGUGACCAGACAAGCCCGACUGGGGAAAAUGGAGCAGCAGAGAAGCUGAAAGCUGUGCCCUGAGCAUUGCCUGUGAGUCCAGGGAUCCUUCCCCAUGGGCUCUGAAACUGAGAGAUGUGAGGCCAGGUGGGUGGA